UGGGGAAUAUUGCACAAUGGGCGCAAGCCUGAUGCAGCCAUGCCGCGUGUAUGAAGAAGGCCUUCGGGUUGUAAAGUACUUUCAGAGGGGAGGAAGGCGAUAAGGUUAAUAACCUUGUCGAUUGACGUUACCCGCAGAAGAAGCACCGGCUAACUCCGUGCCAGCAGCCGCGGUAAUACGGAGGGUGCAAGCGUUAAUCGGAAUUACUGGGCGUAAAGCGCACGCAGGCGGUCUGUCAAGUCGGAUGUGAAAUCCCCGGGCUCAACCUGGGAACUGCAUUCGAAACUGGCAGGCUAGAGUCUUGUAGAGGGGGGUAGAAUUCCAGGUGUAGCGGUGAAAUGCGUAGAGAUCUGGAGGAAUACCGGUGGCGAAGGCGGCCCCCUGGACAAAGACUGACGCUCAGGUGCGAAAGCGUGGGGAGCAAACA
This 427-nucleotide ribosomal RNA is filed under the name uncultured bacterium. RNAcentral describes it as "partial 16S ribosomal RNA". It matches the Rfam family "Bacterial small subunit ribosomal RNA", at positions 355 to 774 of the family's 1533-position model. The record is from RNAcentral.